Pseudophryne corroboree (corroboree frog) is the source of this 691-nucleotide long non-coding RNA. RefSeq lists it as uncharacterized. The record is from RefSeq and is a predicted model, not a curated record. NCBI's taxonomy places the organism in Eukaryota, Metazoa, Chordata, Amphibia, Anura, Myobatrachidae. The transcript has 3 exons.
ACUGGUCAUGUGAUGUACAUCUGACCUCCUGAGCAGAUGCAGAGGCAGCUGGGAAAUGUUAUCAGUCUCUGUAAUGACAUACUGUAUAUAAUUUAUGUGCUGUAGCGUGAGGAACAAUGUCAGAAAGGAUUACUCACAUAGUGGGGCCAGACACAACGACAACGCAGGAGGCAGAGACGCCAUGUGUCUCACAGAAGCCAGCAAGCAGGGACACCCUCUGACUCUGUCACAACCCCCUCUGCCUCUCCUUCUGAACCCCCCUCUCCCUCUCACUUCCAAUCCCCCUCUGCCUCUCCUUCUGAACACCCCUCUCCCUUUCACUUCCAAGCCCCCCUCCCUUUUCAACACCCCUGUCCCUCUCACUUCCAAGCCCCCCUUCUGCCUCUCCUUCUGAACCCCCCUCUCACUCUCGGUUCCACCCCCCCUCGGACACUAAUGAUGGAGAGGCCACAGCUUCUGGGGAUGAAGCUUCAGAAGCAACAUCCCAAAGCGAAGAAAAUGUUCCUGAGCAAAGAGAUGCCUUCAUUCGGGCUUGUUUGUCCAAUAUGGAGGGCUAUCUGGGGGGUUAUUACAUGAAGUAAUAGUGUUAAGAAAUUUAUCUUGAAUUUUUUUUGUUUAUUUUUAAAUUAACAAAAAAUUUAGUUUCUGACUUUGAAAAGUUUACAUUAGUAAAAAUUUGUACUUUAAACAA